Molecule: ribosomal RNA, 550 nt
Filed under: uncultured bacterium
Lineage: Bacteria
Description: bacterial SSU rRNA
Rfam family: Bacterial small subunit ribosomal RNA
Source: RNAcentral
UAGGGAAUCUUCCGCAAUGGACGCAAGUCUGACGGAGCAACGCCGCGUGAGUGAAGAAGGUUUUCGGAUCGUAAAACUCUGUUGUUAGAGAAGAACAAGUGCUAGAGUAACUGUUAGCGCCUUGACGGUAUCUAACCAGAAAGCCACGGCUAACUACGUGCCAGCAGCUGCGGUAAUACGUAGGUGGCAAGCGUUGUCCGGAUUUAUUGGGCGUAAAGCGAGCGCAGGCGGUUCCUUAAGUCUGAUGUGAAAGCCCCCGGCUCAACCGGGGAGGGUCAUUGGAAACUGGGGAACUUGAGUGCAGAAGAGGAGAGCGGAAUUCCAUGUGUAGCGGUGAAAUGCGUAGAUAUAUGGAGGAACACCAGUGGCGAAGGCGACUCUCUGGUCUGUAACUGACGCUGAGGCUCGAAAGCGUGGGUAGCAAACAGGAUUAGAUACCCUGGUAGUCCACGCCGUAAACGAUGAGUGCUAAGUGUUGGAGGGUUUCCGCCCUUCAGUGCUGCAGUUAACGCAUUAAGCACUCCGCCUGGGGAGUACGACCGCAAGGUUG